GCUCCGGUGGACUAGAGGUUAGAGUGUCCCCCUCGGAUGCGGGAGGUCGUGGGUUCGAUCCCCGGUCGGACUUACA
This is a non-coding RNA of Potamilus streckersoni, 76 nucleotides long. Lineage: Eukaryota; Metazoa; Mollusca; Bivalvia; Unionida; Unionidae. The record is from the annotation of a GenBank genome assembly.